Molecule: long non-coding RNA, 1732 nt
Filed under: Coturnix japonica (Japanese quail)
Lineage: Eukaryota; Metazoa; Chordata; Aves; Galliformes; Phasianidae
Description: lncRNA (ENSCJPG00005007243.1)
Source: RNAcentral
UAAGCAAGUGUUUUGGCUGUCCAUAAAUCACGAAUAAUUUUUCUGUUAGCUGAACUCCUAUACAAUUAUAUAAAAUUUACUUUUCAGGAAAAGUUGAGAUCUUCAUUGAAAUGCAAAGAGGUGUGGGAUUGUUUUCUUGGUGUUUUUUUUGUUUGUUUGUUUGGUUUUUAGUGUUUUUUGUUUGUUUGUUUGUUUUUCCUUUGUUAAAAUCUUAACAUCUUAUGAAUUCUUAUUCUUUUUACAGAUUCUGGAUCAAAUUUUCUCCGUGUCUUCAUCACCCAGAUUAGCAUGGAGGACAGAAACAGAAAGAAAAUCCUUGGACAUCUGAACUGCUGAAAUUUAAAGAGAUUCAAAGGAAGAAAAUCCUGACAGAAUCAGUGCUACAUUUAAGAAACUACCUAUCACCUGUCCAAAGGAAGAAUCAGAAUGAUACUCAGGGUGUUUGGAAACAAAGGGAAAAGAACAAGAGGUGUCCACAAUUAUAAAAUUAUAAUGGAUUGCUACCAGUACACUAACUGGCUGGUUGACAGUGAAUUGGACAAGAUCUUCUUCUGGAAGUGUCUAUUUCCAUGGCCAUUUGUAAGAUUCCUGGAUCAAUCCUAUUCAGCAGCAUCUAACACCAAGCAUCAAGCAUGAGGCUAUUGACAGAUUCUCUGUUUGCACAAUGCACUGAAUCAUGCCAAGCAGCCUCUGACAGCUCAAUGCCAUAUACACUGGAGCUCCUGCUACUUUUCAGUGACCUGCAGCUAAACAAAGUUUUCAAGAACUUUGUCUCCAUGAUAAAUUUAAGUAUUGACAUUCAUUUUCUCAGAGGGGAUGAUCUUCAGACGUAGCAUAAUGUGGCUGCAUGUCAGUGUCCAGGUGCAAUGUAGAGACGGAUGCUUCUGAAUUUGAGCUGAGAGGGACAGUUCUGAGAGAAAAGCAUAAUACAAUUGAUAUACGUUGUGGAGCUGAGAAAAAUGAUUACUCGAUUCAAAUAAGACCAAGGGAAACAAGACUAAUUUUGAAUUGAGUUUGGCUUCCCAGUGGUAUUGAAUUCUGUACACAGAUAUGUUCUUCGUAUUAUUCCUUUCAACUUGAAAAAUUUCUAAUCACUUUAUUGGUCUAUAGGCACCCGCCUUUGAGAUACAUGCAAGUGCAUUUUACUGUCCAGUAAAAUAUUUUAGGAAUGAAGGGCAACUCUAUGUUUUUGUAUUUUAGAUCUAUUGUAUAAAAAACCACCUGUGCUUUGGACUGUUUGAGUUAAAAGUAAAAAGAUGAAAAAAUCUUCACUAAAGAAUGAUCUGCUGGGGGCUGAGAGCUAGAGUUAAUUUAAAAUAUCUUGCCUAUAUUUAGAUUAUUUAUUUUGUAUUUGAGAAUACUAUGUACUUAAAAUAAUAGUUCUAUCAUAACUUAGCUUAAGCCGUAUAAUGUGGAUUAAACACCACAUGUUAAAAACACACCUUUUCAUUUAUUCACAGUGCAGACAUAUCUUCUAGGGCAUAGAAAAAUAGCCUUACAGAGGAUUAAUUCAGGAUCCUAAAUCAUAGGAUUAUAGAUCUUCAGUCAGAAGAUACUAUGAACUCUUAAAGUAAGAGAUAUUAUUGGAAAUGAUGUUCAAGAAACAAGUAGAAAUGUCCUUGUAGAGACUAACGAUUUAUUUACUUAUCAGGAAACUUCACUGAUUUGUAAUACUUCCUGAUUUGUUCUGUUUGAAGAAUAAACUGGGUCUUGAAACAAAGGCCCUGAAACA